RNAcentral lists this ribosomal RNA (238 nucleotides) under uncultured bacterium. RNAcentral describes it as "partial 16S ribosomal RNA". It matches the Rfam family "Bacterial small subunit ribosomal RNA", at positions 15 to 245 of the family's 1533-position model. The record is from RNAcentral.
GAUCAUGGCUCAGGAUAAACGCUAGCUACAGGCUUAACACAUGCAAGUCGAGGGGCAGCAUGAACUUAGCUUGCUAAGUUUGAUGGCGACCGGCGCACGGGUGAGUAACACGUAUCCAACCUGCCGAUGACUCGGGAAUAGCCUUUCGAAAGAAAGAUUAAUACCCGAUGGCAUAGUUCUUCCGCAUGGUGGAACUAUUAAAGAAUUUCGGUCAUCGAUGGGGAUGCGUUCCAUUAGG